AGUGAACGCUGGCGGUAGGCCUAACACAUGCAAGUCGAACGGCAGCACAGUAAGAGCUUGCUCUUACGGGUGGCGAGUGGCGGACGGGUGAGGAAUACAUCGGAAUCUACUUUUUCGUGGGGGAUAACGUAGGGAAACUUACGCUAAUACCGCAUACGACCUACGGGUGAAAGCAGGGGAUCUUCGGACCUUGCGCGAUUGAAUGAGCCGAUGUCGGAUUAGCUAGUUGGCGGGGUAAAGGCCCACCAAGGCGACGAUCCGUAGCUGGUCUGAGAGGAUGAUCAGCCACACUGGAACUGAGACACGGUCCAGACUCCUACGGAAGGCAGCAGUGGGGAAUAUUGGACAAUGGGCGCAAGCCUGAUCCAACCAUACCACGUGGGUGAAGAAGGCCUUCGGGUUGUAAAGCCCUUUUGUUGGGAAAGAAAAGCAGCAGGUUAAUACCCCGCUGUUCUGACGGUACCCAAAGAAUAAGCACCGGCUAACUUCGUG
Molecule: ribosomal RNA, 492 nt
Filed under: uncultured bacterium
Lineage: Bacteria
Description: partial 16S ribosomal RNA
Rfam family: Bacterial small subunit ribosomal RNA
Source: RNAcentral